UUUAGCCCCGUCUUUUACCUAAGAGGAAUGUGAAGUUAGAGAUGUUAAUUUUCCUACAUUUCCACAGCUUGUGUGCGAUGAACCCUAUAUCCACACAGCCUGUACCUCCAGUUCAGGCCUCUCCUUCUCCGCAGUGCCACUGCUUCUCCGGGACUCUCCCAGCUGCUCCUUAUGCACCACAACACAGGCUUCUCCACUCUCCCCAGCUGCUCCUUGUACCCCAACUCAUGUGCUUCUCCACUCUCUCUAGCUGCUCCUUGGACCCCACCGCAUAUGCUUCUCCACUCUCCCCAGCUCCUCCUUGGACCCCACAGCAUAUGCUUCUCCACUCUGCCCAGCUGCUCCUUGGACCCCACAGCAUAUGCUUCUCCACUCUCCCCAGCUGCUCCUUGGACCCUACCUCAUAUGCUUCUCCACUCUCCCCAGCUCCUCCUUGGACCCCACAGCAUAUGCUUCUCCACUCUGCCCAGCUGCUCCUUGGACCCCACCUCAUGUGCUUCUCCACUUUCCCCAGCUGCUCCUUGGACCCCACAGCAUGUGCUUAUGCUUCUCCACUCUGCCCAGCUGCUCCUUGGACCCCACAGCAUAUGCUUCUCCACUCUGCCCAGCUGCUCCUUGGACCCCACCUCAUGUGCUUCUCCACUCUCCCCAGCUGCUCCCUGGACCUCACAGCAUAUGCUUCUUCACUCUCCCCAGCUGCUUCUUGGACCCCACCUCAUGUGCUUCUCCACUCUCCCCAGCUGCUCCUUGGACCCCACAGCAUAUGCUUCAUCACUCUCCCCAGCUGCUCCUUGGACCCCACCUUGCCACUCUCCCCAGCUGCUCCUUGGACCCCACCUCAUAUGCUUCUCCACUCUCCCCAGCUGCUCCUUGGACCCCACCUCAUGUGCUUCUCCACUCUCCCCAGCUGCUCCUUGGACCUCACUGCAUAUGCUUCUGCACUCUGACCGGCUGCUCCUUGGACCCCACAGCAUAUGCUUCUCCACUCUCCCCAGCUGCUCCUUGUACCCCACAGCAUGUGCUUCUCCACUCUCCCCAGCUGCUCCUUGGACCCCACUGCAUAUGCUUU
Molecule: long non-coding RNA, 1069 nt
Filed under: Ursus maritimus (polar bear)
Lineage: Eukaryota; Metazoa; Chordata; Mammalia; Carnivora; Ursidae
Description: lncRNA (ENSUMAG00000019168.1)
Source: RNAcentral